CCCUUAGAUGUUCUGGGCCGCACGCGUGCUACACUGAGUGGAUCAGCGGGUCAGGUUGCGCGAAAGCGUUUCCUAAUCUUUAAAUCCGCUCGUGAUGGGGAUUGACGGUUGCAAUUUUCUGUCAUGAACGAGGAAUACCUUGUAAGCGCGGGUCAUCAUCCCGCGCUGAAUACGUCCCUGCCCUUUGUACACACCGCCCGUCGCUCCUACCGAUUGAGUGGUCCGGUGAGGCUUUGGGAUCUGAGCGGAAAGAGCGUUUCGCUGUUUCUGCUCGGAAAACUCAGACGAACCUUAUCAUUUAGAGGAAGGAGAAGUCGUAACA
RNAcentral lists this ribosomal RNA (322 nucleotides) under uncultured eukaryote. RNAcentral describes it as "partial 18S ribosomal RNA". It matches the Rfam family "Eukaryotic small subunit ribosomal RNA", at positions 1470 to 1796 of the family's 1831-position model. The record is from RNAcentral.